Molecule: ribosomal RNA, 174 nt
Filed under: uncultured soil bacterium
Lineage: Bacteria
Description: partial 16S ribosomal RNA
Rfam family: Bacterial small subunit ribosomal RNA
Source: RNAcentral
UACUCCUACGGGAGGCAGCAGUAGGGAAUUUUCCACAAUGGACGAAAGUCUGAUGGAGCAACGCCGCGUGCAGGAUGAAUGCCUUCGGGUUGUAAACUGCUUUUAUUAGUGACGAUUAUGACGGUAACUAAUGAAUAAGGACCUGCUAACUACGUGCCAGCAGCCGCGGUAAUA